AACGAACGCUGGCGGCAUGCCUAACACAUGCAAGUCGAACGAAGGCUUCGGCCUUAGUGGCGCACGGGUGAGUAACGCGUGGGAAACUGCCUAUUGGUGGGGAAUAACGACGGGAAACUGUCGCUAAUACCGCAUAAGCCCUUCGGGGGAAAGAUUUAUCGCCGAUAGAUGUGCCCGCGUCCGAUUAGCUAGUUGGUGAGGUAAUGGCUCACCAAGGCGACGAUCGGUAGCUGGUCUGAGAGGAUGAUCAGCCACACUGGGACUGAGACACGGCCCAGACUCCUACGGGAGGCAGCAGUGGGGAAUAUUGGACAAUGGGCGGAAGCCUGAUCCAGCAAUGCCGCGUGAGUGAUGAAGGCCUUAGGGUUGUAAAGCUCUUUCGGGUGGGACGAUGAUGACGGUACCACCAGAAGAAGCCCCAGCUAACUUCGUGCCAGCAGCCGCGGUAA
Molecule: ribosomal RNA, 449 nt
Filed under: uncultured bacterium
Lineage: Bacteria
Description: partial 16S ribosomal RNA
Rfam family: Bacterial small subunit ribosomal RNA
Source: RNAcentral